This is a long non-coding RNA of Sceloporus undulatus (fence lizard), 486 nucleotides long. RefSeq lists it as uncharacterized. The record is from RefSeq and is a predicted model, not a curated record. The transcript has 2 exons. Lineage: Eukaryota; Metazoa; Chordata; Lepidosauria; Squamata; Phrynosomatidae.
GGAAGGAGAAGGAGAAGGAGAAGAAGAGGGAGCCAAAGAAACAGGAGAUCCGCAUCUUUCGCACCUGGGGCUUGGAAGGAAGUCUCAUGCAGGAAGCUGAGUAAGAAAUCUACAAAAUCCUGGAUGACUCUUCAUACAUGGCUAGUGGCCCACAUUCAUUGGUUGCAAGUUGUGCUGGCAUGAUAACAAGGCAUGCUCAAUUUACAACCCAACACAUGGCUUUAACUUUUGUGGCUACUUCGCUUAAAACUACGAUUUGGAAUGCAUGGCCCUUCAGAUGUCUUUGGAGAUUCAUUAUCCUUCACCAGCAGCAAUGUUGGCUUGUGCUGAUGGGAACGGUGGUCCAGCAACAUCUUGGGAAUUCCAUGUAUCCUGCAUCUCUACUUUAAAAGUUCUUAAUAUGGUUUUUCCUGUUUUUUGCCUAUGCUGGAGUUACUGUAUAGCCACUCUCUCAGAACAGGAGAGUUAAUUAAAUGUGAUCAUGCA